Non-coding RNA from Punica granatum (pomegranate), 2465 nucleotides. The record is from RefSeq and is a predicted model, not a curated record. NCBI's taxonomy places the organism in Eukaryota, Viridiplantae, Streptophyta, Magnoliopsida, Myrtales, Lythraceae.
CAUAUUUCCAAACCGGGCCAGACGCCUGAGGGACACCGUCAGCCGUUGUGGUCGCUCUGCUUUCCCCUCUCUGAAUAGCAGGAGACGCUCAAAGCUUUCAGUAGUGGAAGAAGAUCUUCUCUUCCUGCUGCUCUCUGUCUGCUCCUCUCCUCUCGCCUCGUCAUGGACUACCUGAAGACGGUGGUGCCUUCGCAACUGAUCGCAGAGAGGGGCGCCAACAUAGUCGUCAUCAAUCCCGGCUCUGCAAGUAUCAGAAUUGGGCUUGCUUCGCAGGACACCCCAUAUAACCUGCCUCAUUGUAUAGCUCGCUAUAGUACCCAGCAGCCCAAGCGAAAUGUGCAAGACCAGAUGCUCAAUUCUCAGAUUACGACAGCCCAGCACAUGGAACGAGAACAUGCAUAUGAUAUUAUAGCUUCUCUGUUGAAGAUCCCAUUCUUGGAUGAGGAAGCUGCUAACAAUAACUCUUUCUCACGCAAGAUGGCACGUGUUGAUGGUUAUAACCUGCAGACUGCGAAAAAGGACACGCCUUUUGCCUGGGCUGAUGUGUAUGAAAAGUCUUCAGAAAGUUUUAUGAAUAAAGGGUCACCCACUACGUCUUAUGAGAAACAUGAGACCGUUGGUCCUGAGGAAUCCAGUUCAAGUGAACAACGUAAUUACCAGAAGUACAUCUGUGGUGAGGAAGCACUGAGAAUAUCCCCCUCUGAGCCUUACUGCUUGCACCGCCCUAUUCGUAGAGGUCAUUUUAAUGUUUCACAACAUUAUCCUGUGCAGCAGGUUUAUGAGGACCUUUGUACUAUCUGGGACUGGAUAAUGAUGGAAAAACUGCAUAUUGCUCCAUGGGAGAGGAACCUGUACUCUGCCAUUCUUGUUGUUCCUGAGACAUUUGAUAGUCGAGAAAUAAAGGAAAUGCUCACUAUAGUAUUGCAAGAUUUGCGAUUUGGCUCAGCUGUUGUACACCAGGAAGGUCUGGCUGCGGCUUUUGGGAAUGGUUUAUCUACGACCUGUAUUGUUAACAUUGGUGCUCAGACGACAUCAGUUGUAUGCAUUGAGGAUGGAGUGGCUUUACCCACCACUGAGAAAACUCUACCUUUCGGUGGAGAGGAUAUAUCAAGGUGCCUUCUUUGGACACAAAGGCAUCAUCAGACAUGGCCACAAGUUCGUACAGACAUGUUGACAAAGCCUGUAGAUUUGUUGAUGCUCAACGAGCUGAAGGAAAUGUAUUGUCAAAUAACAGAGGGUGAGGUUGUUGCUGCCGCUGUUGUUUACUCAUAUGAGGAUGAUGCACCAGCUGCCUCUCACAAGACGAGGCUAACUGCCCUUAAUGUUCCUCCCAUGGGUCUAUUUUACCCUAUGCUUUUGGUUCCGGACAUAUACCCUCCACCACCUCGCACUUGGUUUAAAGAUUAUGAGGAUAUGCUAGAGGAGACGUGGAAUACUGAUUAUGCUAGAAGACCUGAUAUUCCUGACCCUUUUUAUCUCGGUGCCAACAUCGGAUAUUCUAUGUGGGACAGCUAUCCCAUUUUUCAAACUAAGCCAAAAAAAGAAGAGAAAAUUGGCCUUGCCGAAGCUAUUGUGAAUAGUAUACUCUCCACUGGGCGUAUUGAGCUGAAGAGAAAACUAUUUUGUAGCAUACAGCUGGUUGGUGGUGUGGCAUUGACAAGGGGCCUAAUUCCUGCUGUAGAGGAGAGAGUGUUGCAUACAAUUCCCUCGCAUGAAGCUAUUGAUACUGUUGAGGUGUUGCAACCCAGGGCAAAUCCUACUUUUGCAGCCUGGAAAGGUGGUAUGAUCCUGGGAGUUCUUGAUGUAACUCGUGAUGCUUGGAUACACCGGGUUGACUGGAUUAACAGUGGGAUACACAUAGGAAGCGGUAGGAAGUACAAAGAUUCGUACUAUCUUCAAGCCCAAGCAACAGCAUACAUCAACCCUUGAAAAAGGAUGAUCUCUCUUGAUUUAUUUCCUUGCCUUUACUUCCAGUUGUUGGAAUGGAAGUUAGUGGUCCUCAAGAUCUGCUAUGUACAGAGCAUGAUGAAGAGAAAGUAUGAAGAUCAAUUUUGCUAGACGCAAUGCGGAAGCAGUUUCUCAUGCUGUUCUUAGGAGUUCCACAGAAUGCCUCCUGCUCCAGAAAUGAGCCACGAAUGCUAGUGAAGAUGAUACUCCUGAUCUUUCCUGACAAGUUCAGAUCAUCGUUGCAAUCACCAUAACUCUGGUUUAUGAUAGACGAUGCAUAGUUGCAUUAACUGAGGUAACUUGUAAUGCCUAUUAGUUAGAUGGGAGUCAUUUAGCCGGGCAAGUUGAUUGAACACAAGUGAUGGGAUGGGUUCUAGAUGAUUGACCAAUAUCCACCUUCGCAGUUGAAGGCCGGGCUUUUUACUGUCAUGUGCAUAAAUUAGUUAAGCUUGAGUAGCGGUUGUAUCUAAUUUUUCUAUUAAAGUUUUUCUCUAUGUUAAUUCAAUAGCAUCGCAUCA